Molecule: long non-coding RNA, 255 nt
Filed under: Prunus dulcis (almond)
Lineage: Eukaryota; Viridiplantae; Streptophyta; Magnoliopsida; Rosales; Rosaceae
Description: sRNA ncRNA
Source: RNAcentral
AUGGCAGAUGGCUUAUCCACCUUUUGGGGUCCUGUCACAUCCAAAGAUUGGUGUGAGCAAAAUUAUGUCUACUCUUCUUACAUUGCCGAGUUCUUCGACACUAUAUCCAAUAUCCCAGGCAUCUUGUUGGCACUCAUUAGCCUUAUCAAUGCUUUGAGGCAACGUUUUGAUAAGAGAUUUAGCGUUCUUCACAUCUCCAAUAUGAUACUUGCUAUUAGGAGCAUGCUUUACCAUGCCACUUUGCAAGGUCUGUAA